Molecule: ribosomal RNA, 503 nt
Filed under: uncultured bacterium
Lineage: Bacteria
Description: partial 16S ribosomal RNA
Rfam family: Bacterial small subunit ribosomal RNA
Source: RNAcentral
AUUGAACACUGGCGGCAGGCUUAACACAUGCAAGUCGAGCGGGGUGAUGGUGCUUGCACUAUCACUUAGCGGCGGACGGGUGAGUAAUGCUUAGGAAUCUGCCUAUUAGUGGGGGACAACAUCUCGAAAGGGAUGCUAAUACCGCAUACGUCCUACGGGAGAAAGCAGGGGAUCACUUGUGACCUUGCGCUAAUAGAUGAGCCUAAGUCGGAUUAGCUAGUUGGUGGGGUAAAGGCCUACCAAGGCGACGAUCUGUAGCGGGUCUGGGAGGAUGAUCCGCCACACUGGGACUGAGACACGGCCCAGACUCCUACGGGAGGCAGCAGUGGGGAAUAUUGGACAAUGGGGGGAACCCUGAUCCAGCCAUGCCGCGUGUGUGAAGAAGGCCUUAUGGUUGUAAAGCACUUUAAGCGAGGAGGAGGCUCUUUUGGUUAAUACCCAAGAUGAGUGGACGUUACUCGCAGAAUAAGCACCGGCUAACUCUGUGCCAGCAGCCGCAGUAA